AAGUGAACAUCUAAGAAGAUAAAUACAAUGACAUUUUUGUCAUAUAGUGGCAUAGACGUCGACUUUUGAAAUUCUAGGACAGAAUUCAUCUUCAUGAACUGCAUAUAUGCGAGUGUUGACAUCCCAAAGCCAAGCCAAAGCAUUGCUUAUAAAUAACUGGUUUUCUGUUCCAACUUCUUGGCCCUUACAUAUUUGAUCAUAUUGAGCUUCUAAAAUGUGCAGAGGUGUAGAAGAAGAGGUCAUUUCAGUUAAAGCCUCAAAAGGGUUUGUUUGUUGCGAGCUUUGCAGUUCAAGAGCUUCAUUAUAUUGCCUAGCAGAUGAUGCAUAUUUGUGUAGGAAAUGCGACCAAUCUGUUCACGGGGCUAAUUGUUUAGCUCUCCGGCAUGUUAGAUGCUUGCUCUGCAAGACAUGUCAGAAUCUUACACAGAGAUAUGUGAUCGGGAUUUCGGUCGAGCUUCUGCUGAGAGGAACAAGGCCACCACAUCCACCAACUGGAACUCAUGUGAGAUAACUUGAAGAUCAGUCAGUGUAUGCAAUAGAUUGAUGUAGGUGUAAAGCAGUCGAAAGGAAAAGGUACAUAAGCUUGAAUUCUCUUGACCACUUACGUAGGAACAACAUUUGAGUAUUUGUAAAUAAAUUAUCGGAAGUUCUACGUAGCAAUUGUGCUAGUAUUGGCAACGUACGUUAAGAGAUUGCACGAUGUUAUUGAAAAUUGAAAUUGUAGGGACAACAUUAAGGACUAGCCCAAAUGCCGGGGACCAAACAGGCAAUUUGGCCUAAAAUUUGAAGAAAGGUCUCUCUGUUUUUUUGUUUUUCCUCGUAAUAAACAAAUUGAUCGAAGAGUAA
Rosa chinensis is the source of this 846-nucleotide long non-coding RNA. RefSeq lists it as uncharacterized. The record is from RefSeq and is a predicted model, not a curated record. The transcript is spliced from 2 exons. Lineage: Eukaryota; Viridiplantae; Streptophyta; Magnoliopsida; Rosales; Rosaceae.